This 627-nucleotide unclassified non-coding RNA is filed under the name Lelliottia amnigena. RNAcentral's name for it is "partial contains 16S ribosomal RNA, 16S-23S ribosomal RNA intergenic spacer, and 23S ribosomal RNA". The stretch from base 447 to 580 matches the Rfam family "Salmonella enterica Typhi npcRNA 44". The record is from RNAcentral. Lineage: Bacteria; Pseudomonadati; Pseudomonadota; Gammaproteobacteria; Enterobacterales; Enterobacteriaceae.
AGUCGUAACAAGGUAGCCGUAGGGGAACCUGCGGCUGGAUCACCUCCUUACCUGAAAAACCUGGCUUUGGAAUGGCCCCCCCGAUUGGCUGAAGAAAAAUAAACAAUAAAGAAUCUCUGCAGGCUUGAAUUUCAGGUGCCCAUAGCGCACCCCUGAUAAAGGUGAGGUCUGCGGUUCAAGUCCACUCGUGCCUACCCCCUUCGCCUCCGGACUGCGUUAUGGCAACGCUCGCAUACAGCAGUAUGCUUCCUGUUACCUGACCUUGCCCGGAAACGAAUUAGGGUACAGAGAUUCAUUAUUACGAUGGGGUUAUGGCUCAGCUGGAAAAGCGCCUGCCUUGCACGCGUGAGGUCUGCGGUUCAAUACCGCAUAACUCCACCAUCCUUUUACUGCUGAUUUUCGAAAACUUCGGGUGUACCUGAAAAGGUGUGCUGCGAAGUUUUGCUCUUUAAAAAUCUGGAUCAAGGUGAGAAUUGAAACGACCCACUGUGUCUGCUCUCCGUAAUAAGAGCAAGUAAGCGGUGUGUUCCAGUCUCUCUGAUUUUCGCAACACUGCGGUUGUUUUACCAAACAUCUUCGGGUUGUGAGGGUAAGCAACUAAGCGUACACGUGUGGAUGCCUUGCCAC